CGAGGAUUCCUCUAGUAACUGCGAGUGAACGCGGAAAAGCCCAGCGCUGAAUCCUUCGGCCACUGGUCGCUUGGAGUUGUAGCGUAUAGGUGCGGCUGUCCGUUCGCCUCGUGCACCCAAAGUCCCCUUGAGCGGGGCUAUAGUCCAAAGAAGGUGCUAGACCUGUACGGGUGGCGAGGUGAUCGGUUGGUCGUUCCAUGGAGUCGGGUUGCCUGGGAUCGCAGCCCAAAGUUGGUGGUAGACCUCAUCUAAGGCUAAAUAUGACCACGAAACCGAUAGCAAACAAGUACCGUGAGGGAAAGUUGCAAAGAACUUUGAAGAGAGAGUUCAAGAGGGCGUGAAACCGCUGAGAUUGAAACGGAUAGAGUUGACGAAACUCAGCUGCAUUCAUCCAAUCGGCCCUGCGGCCCAACGAUAUCGGAUUCCUCGAUGAGGGCCGAUUCGCUGGUGUUACUGUUGGGCGCUUGAUCGGUGUAUUUGCGGCUGGUAUGCGCUGAGAGCCCUGCGGACGUAUGUUGACAAGCGUGCAGCGGACCAUUCCUUCCGGGCGUGGAAACCUUCGCGCUUUCAAGCAUGUCGACCGUAGGGUUUUUUAAACGUUUCCGCCACGAAGGUGCGUCCACUUUUGCGCUCUAUUCCGAUCACUGGAUAGUCGCGUGCGACUGUCUAUGGUCGGUGGUGGUGCGACAGGGGUGCGAACGCGAAGAAACGAGCAUCUCGGUGUGAACGUUGACCACCUAUCC
RNAcentral lists this ribosomal RNA (743 nucleotides) under Seuratascaris physalis. RNAcentral describes it as "partial large subunit ribosomal RNA". It matches the Rfam family "Eukaryotic large subunit ribosomal RNA", at positions 69 to 645 of the family's 3401-position model. The record is from RNAcentral. Lineage: Eukaryota; Metazoa; Nematoda; Chromadorea; Rhabditida; Ascarididae.